RNAcentral lists this ribosomal RNA (753 nucleotides) under uncultured Glomeromycotina. Its description in RNAcentral is "SSU rRNA". It matches the Rfam family "Eukaryotic small subunit ribosomal RNA", at positions 338 to 1092 of the family's 1831-position model. The record is from RNAcentral. Lineage: Eukaryota; Fungi; Glomeromycota.
GGCCUACCAUGGUGGUAACGGGUAACGGGGUGUUAGGGCACGACACCGGAGAGGGAGCCUGAGAAACGGCUACCACAUCCAAGGAUGGCAGCAGGCGCGCAAAUUACCCAAUCCCGACACGGGGAGGUAGUGACAAUAAAUAACAAUACGGGGUUCUUUCGGAUUUCGUAAUUGGAAUGAGUACAAUUUAAAUCUCUUAACGAGGAACAAUUGGAGGGCAAGUCUGGUGCCAGCAGCCGCGGUAAUUCCAGCUCCAAUAGCGUAUAUUAAAGUUGUUGCAGUUAAAAAGCUCGUAGUUGAAUUUCGGGAUCGACGGGUCGGUCGCGCCUCUGGUGUGUACUGGCCCUGUCGGUUUCUCCCUUCUGACGAACCACGAUGUCAUUAAUUUGGUGUCGUGGGAAAUCAGGACUGUUACUUUGAAAAAAUUAGAGUGUUUAAAGCAGGCAUUCGCUUGAAUACAUUAGCAUGGAAUAAUGAAAUAGGACGUUUGAUCUUAUUUUGUUGGUUUCUAAGAUCGACGUAAUGAUUAAUAGGGAUAGUUGGGGGCAUUAGUAUUCAAUUGUCAGAGGUGAAAUUCUUGGAUUUAUUGAAGACUAACUACUGCGAAAGCAUUUGCCAAGGAUGUUUUCAUUAAUCAAGAACGAAAGUUAGGGGAUCGAAGACGAUCAGAUACCGUCGUAGUCUUAACCAUAAACUAUGCCGACUAGGGAUCGGAUGAUGUUAAUUUUUUAAUGACUCAUUCGGCGCCUUACG